AAAAAAAAAGAAACUCAUGCUCUUUUUGGUCCCCUGUCCGUUCUCCACCUGCAGCUCUCAGCGGUGACAUCAUGGAUUACCUCACCAUGAGAACAUGUUCACCAGGGACGUGGCCUACAUGCCGACACUGGACUCCAUCCCGGGUCACCGUAGAUGGUUGCAGCUUGUCGCAUCUCAAUCCCUCCUUGCAGGAAGCUUCGCUGCACGGCGGGCAUAAAUCACAGGGAGUAGGUGGACUCGCUUGUCACUGAUUCACAUGACCUCAGAGUGACUGUUACAGCGGGAGUUGUCUUUUGACAGAGUCGGCGUUCGCUCUAUGAAAAAGUCCCUUUCUAAAUGUCACGUACUGCAGCAGGAGGAACAUGCGGCUACGUGUUUCAUAUUUAAGACAGAGGCCUGUCGUAGCGGCAUCUCUGUGUUCACCACAUCUCAGCAAUUACUGCGUAAGUAUGUUGUCCAACUAUCCAACCCUGAUAAUGGAGCGAAUCGUUCCGCAUCGAUCCACGCAGCAGCAUCGCCGCCGCCGCUGCUGCUGCCGUCGUCGUGGUAAUCAUCCGUUUGUGUGGUGAAAUCCUCCUGAAUGUGACAGCACUGUUGUCUGUUAGCGACCAAGCGACAGGUCCAGUCAACCUCUCUGACAUGUCGUGGUUGCCUCGAG
This is a long non-coding RNA of Thunnus maccoyii (southern bluefin tuna), 658 nucleotides long. RefSeq lists it as uncharacterized. Lineage: Eukaryota; Metazoa; Chordata; Actinopteri; Scombriformes; Scombridae. The record is from RefSeq and is a predicted model, not a curated record. The transcript has 5 exons.